CUUUUUGCUUCUGUGAGUAUACAGCUAGUUCAUUUUCUUGUAAAAAGUGUUCCUCUGGCGUGUUACUCCUGCACCUGCCUUGAAGCUAGGGAGGAACACAAUCCUGAUUGGAAACCAGAAUAACAAGAUGCUUGUUUUCUUCCUUCAUCUAAGAUGACCACCCCUUCCCUUCCUCCCGAAGGAAGAGGCAUUAACCCCAACCUGUCCACCUGCCGAGAGUCUCAGUGCAACAAUCAUGGUAACUGUGUGACUCCUACGGGUGGUGGUACAGAUCUAGCAUGUAACUGUGAUCUGGGCUACAAGGGUGACUCCUGCGAGGACACGAUCAAUGGGGCAUUAAGUGUACCUUUGACCCUGAGCGUGUUUGCUGUCCUCGUUGGCCUGGUGAUCCUGGCCUUCAUCGCUGCCAAGUUCCGGCAGAAACAAAAGAAGAAGCGAAGGAAACUACUGGAAGAAAAAGUCUACAGCAAUACUGCAUAAUGUGGAUAACUGUCGAACAGAUAAACUUUGGUGAUCAAAUUGUGACUACCACUAUAAGAAUUAUGCUGCAACAUCCCACAGACUCGAGCAAUAACUUCACAAACUGAGUGCAAAGGCGUAUGGGAGAGUUACUUCUUAUACAGUAUUUUUCCAUUUGUACAAAAAGUAUCUAUCUCUAAUACCGCAAGCCACAUGCUGAUUCAUUUUGUGCCUCUUCUCUGAAACCAACUAAACUGAUGCCAAUAGAGUCAUCCAGGCAAAACGUGCAGUGCAAAUGUCUGUAUUUUAAUCAACAUCAGCUUCCUUGAUCUCAUUUCUCAAACACUAAGGCAUGCUUCUGCAAGUAGUUUAAACUCUGACUCUUGUUAGUAAAACAAUACAAAUGUUCACCUAUAAUUUACCUUCUCUGAGGGAGCUGCAGUUUAGCUUAAGUAAAGCAAGUGGUUGUUAUUUUGACAGUGAAGGCUCCAGACAGAUGACAUUUACGAUGAUUCUCUAGACCGUUUAAUGGGAAUCUGAUAAGCCAGAAGCUGAUUUGACUCCGUCCAGUUUUUAUAUAUUUUAUUUAGAAAAUAUGCACUUUUUUUCCACUCUUGUGGUUUUAUUUCAUUGCUAUGUUACGUACAGCAGUUGCUGCUGGUAUUAUAUUGUUUCCCUUGAAUUUCUUUCUUUCUUUCUUUCUUUUUUUUUAAGGCAUGCGUGUGUGUGCGUGUGCAUAUUAGUGCCUUUUAACACUUUGGGUUUUUGGGAAGUAUUUCUACCUAGUUCUAAGUGCCCUGCCUUUGAUUCUUUUGAUGCUGUGGCAACAUAAAUGCACCUGUACAUCACUGGCCUGCUUUCGUUCAGAUUUCUGUUCAUGCUUAUGAAAAUAAUGCAUUUUCAAUCUGUGCAGACACAAUCCUGCAUGGCUGUCAGUAACAUAUUGUACAGAUGGUAGGAGAGCGGUCAGAGCUGAUUUCAGUCUUGGCAUUUUCAAAACCUGAUAGUAUGUGUGCUUUUAAAUGAGUUCCUGUGCCCUCUGAAUCUCAGGCUACAAAAUGAUUACCGCUCGAUAAACUUCUGGACCUGUAAAGAUGAAAGCUGCAGAGUAUCUUGGUACAGAAUAAGUAAUUAAGUUCCUCAAGCUUGUAGCCAGUGUUAAGUGCCUACUGUAUUGCUUCUUUAUUAUGUUCACAACCACCUAAGUUAUUAUAUUUGUACAGACCUUUUACCUGGUAGCUACUGGUGACCACAAACAUAAACUGGUCAUCAACAACACAGUAGCAAUAAGUUUUGUAAAUAUCUGCCCCUCUAACCACUGGGUAAAAAUCACAAAACGGUAAUGUUACUGUAGAUUUUCAGAUCUGCCAUAUACAAUAGUCAAUCUUAAUUAUAUUAUCGUGUUUUUAUGUGUGCAUGAAUGUGCUGGACAUUUAUAUUAAUAUGACCAUUGUUGACGAGCAGGGUUUCUCAGUCUAUGCAUCCUAUAGUGUCUUCCACUGGCUUGUAUACAGUUUGAAUUAUAUAGACAGAAGAGGAUGUCUCACUGUGUUGUUUACACUCACAGUAUUUGAAGAAAAGAAAUGCACAAUAACUUUUGUAUGCUUUCAAAAUAAUAUGAAAAAACUCUGUAAUAUUUAUAUGCAUCCCCUGUAUCAGUGCACACAGAUUUGUAUCAAUAAAGUUGAUUAUUGGUGUUUUCUUUUCUUUGGUACGUAAGUAAAAAGUACAGGUUUUCUACCUGCCAUUAACUAGACAGUCAACUUAUACUGCAGGGUGUCACAGUGUCUUAUCACUGGGGAUAGAUAAGCUGUCUUUGUGCGCCUGUUACAGUAAACCUCUUUUUCUGGCAUCCAGUGACACGAUAAUAUCAGUUUCAGUGUUUACCAAACUCAGGUUCUCAGGCUGCGAAUUUGCAGUGUCACAGCCUGAGAACCUAACUGCAUUUACUAUAUAAGAAAAUAUGUAACAACAAGGAAGUGGAAGCCUCUGCCAUCAGGGU
Oreochromis niloticus (Nile tilapia) is the source of this 2461-nucleotide long non-coding RNA. RefSeq lists it as uncharacterized. The transcript has 3 exons. NCBI's taxonomy places the organism in Eukaryota, Metazoa, Chordata, Actinopteri, Cichliformes, Cichlidae. The record is from RefSeq and is a predicted model, not a curated record.